CCUCGAUGAACACGCUUUCUUGCCUCAUCUUUGUCAAAGUACUUUGCAGCGCCUUCCCCCUUCCCCAGAAUAUACCACCAUUCGUAAGGGACACUCGCAAGUUCGAGGAAGAAAUCUUUCCCUCUUGUCAUCCAAACCUGUAAGUUUCGUGGAGUUAGGUAUCACUUCUUCGUAAGGGACUCCGCUAAUUGGCAAACCACCUAGAAUAUGCAAGUCCCAAAGAGAUAUGGAUGUUUCUCCAAUAGAUGUAAGUAAUGUAUUUGUUUGAGGGCACCAAGCCUCACAAAAGACUUGUAUAAUAUUGGAGUUUCGAUCACAAGUAAAAAGAGAAGCAAAUACAAGCAUUGUUUAGACUUUGCCCAUUUUUGCUUAAGACAUCUUCUAUCCAUUCCCAGUAUCCCGGAAUGCAGUGUUAUUCACCUUCAAGCACAAUGUUGUCUCCCCAACGUAGUUUCUCUAGAAUCAUGCGACGACCUAAAUUUGAAAGAGUGCUCGCGAUGUUUGUACGUUGAGGAUUUGGUUUCUCAAGAUACCACGCUUUUUGAGGCUUUAUUAGAUUUGUGAUCGUAUUCAGAUGUCCAACUUCUCAUAUGAA
RNAcentral lists this long non-coding RNA (595 nucleotides) under Solanum tuberosum (potato). Its description in RNAcentral is "long non-coding RNA (STUB_LNC002523)". The record is from RNAcentral. Lineage: Eukaryota; Viridiplantae; Streptophyta; Magnoliopsida; Solanales; Solanaceae.